Molecule: ribosomal RNA, 200 nt
Filed under: uncultured organism
Description: partial small subunit ribosomal RNA
Rfam family: Bacterial small subunit ribosomal RNA
Source: RNAcentral
CGUCAAAUCAUCAUGGCCCUUAUGUCCUGGGCUACACACGUGCUACAAUGGCCGGUACAGCGCGUUGCCACACGGCGACGUGGAGCCAAUCGCUGAAAGCCGGUCUCAGUUCGGAUUGGAGUCUGAAACCCGACUCCAUGAAGGUGGAAUCGCUAGUAAUCGCGCAUCAGCAUGCCGCGGUGAAUACGUUCCCGGGCCUU